UGCGUAGGGCGCAAGCGUUGUCCGGAAUUAUUGGGCGUAAAGAGCUCGUAGGCGGUUUGUCGCGUCUGUCGUGAAAGCUUGGGGCUUAACCCCAAGUCUGCGGUGGAUACGGGCAGACUAGAGGCAGGUAGGGGAGAACGGAAUUCCCGGUGUAGCGGUGAAAUGCGCAGAUAUCGGGAGGAACACCGGUGGCGAAGGCGGUUCUCUGGGCCUGUACUGACGCUGAGGAGCGAAA
This 235-nucleotide ribosomal RNA is filed under the name uncultured bacterium. Its description in RNAcentral is "partial 16S ribosomal RNA". It matches the Rfam family "Bacterial small subunit ribosomal RNA", at positions 524 to 758 of the family's 1533-position model. The record is from RNAcentral.